GCUGUUUAAAAGCGUGAAGCCAGUGCGCAUGACUGAAAGCGGAAAGCGCAUUAUUCCGCGUGUUUCUUUUGUUAAAGUCUGAAAGUGACACGGCGCCCACUGGGACAAAGGACAUGCAAAAUGUGGGGCCAUUAGCCUGCUACCCUUUAAGAGUGGGGUUCGUGUUUCUCUGAGACCCAGGCCCUUCAUCUAGGCCUCGGAUGCCCUGUAGGAAACGGAGGGCGCAAGGCAAGACCUUCACUGUGCAGCCUUCAUUGCCUAAAGCUUUAGUUUCAGCUGUCGCCGAAGGUAGCGCCUGGGCGGUCGCGUGGCAGGGGAGAACCGCCACAGCACGCGGCGGUUCCGCACUUGUACGCGGCCACUCCACGGGCCUUGCGCAAUCCAGCGUGGACUGUGUGACGCGACUGCAUUCCGGUCUCGCGGAGGCACCGAGGCGCGGCCUGGGCAGAAGAAACGCGCACUGGGGCGGGGCCGGAAGUCCCGCCCCCUUUGGACUCCGCCUUCCAAGCCACCGCCUGUUCGCCCGGCUGUGUGCCGCUUUCUCCGUCAGGCCCUGA
Molecule: long non-coding RNA, 557 nt
Filed under: Cavia porcellus (domestic guinea pig)
Lineage: Eukaryota; Metazoa; Chordata; Mammalia; Rodentia; Caviidae
Description: lncRNA (ENSCPOG00000038975.1)
Source: RNAcentral